UUAAUAUUAGUUAUGAAAUAUAUUUCAAGAAAUUUUAUAUCUAGUUUUUUAAGAGUAAAAGUUUAAUUAAUAAUUUUUAUAAAAAUUAAUAUGGUUUAGCUUAUUAAUUUUAUAUAUUGUUAGAAUUAUAUAACCUUAGUAAAUUUGAUAGUGUUUAUUUUAUUAAUUUAUAAUGGAGGGUGAUGUGAAUAAAGAUUUUUAUUUAUUAUUUAUUUAUUAAAAAAUUUAUUUAAAUUUUAAAGUUAUAUUUAUAAUGAAAAAAUUAGUAAAAAUUUAGUUAUAUUUAAAAAUAGUUAAUAAUAUAUAAAUGUUAUAAUUAUUAUAAAAAAUGAAUUCGGCAAAAAGUAUUAUUUGACUGUUUAGCAAAAACAUUGUUUCAUGAAAAUAUAUGAAAUAAUGUCUGUCCACUGAUAUAUUUGAAGGACUGCAGUAUAUUGACUGUAUAAAAGUAGCAUAAUCAUUAGCUUUUUAAUUUGGGGUUGGUAUGAAGGCGAAACGGGUAAGUUCUUUAUUUUUUAUAAAUAUUUUAAUUUUAUUUUUGAGUGAAAAAUCUUAAUUGGAUGAGAGGGACAAGAAGACCCUAAUAAGUUUUAUUUUUUUUUAUUUAUGUUAUAGGAAAUUAUAAUUAGAUAAUAUUAAAUUAGAAAUUUGGUUGGGGCGAUUAAUUAUAAAACAUAAUUUAUUUAUAAUUUUU
Molecule: ribosomal RNA, 694 nt
Filed under: Pseudopolydesmus collinus
Lineage: Eukaryota; Metazoa; Arthropoda; Diplopoda; Polydesmida; Polydesmidae
Description: partial large subunit ribosomal RNA
Source: RNAcentral